AUCUAAAUAGCUUAUUAGAGUAUAAUAUUGAAGAUAUUAAGGAAAUAUUUAUAUUUUUAGAUA
Molecule: transfer RNA, 63 nt
Filed under: Cerogria popularis
Lineage: Eukaryota; Metazoa; Arthropoda; Insecta; Coleoptera; Tenebrionidae
Description: tRNA-Phe
Source: RNAcentral